AGAGGAUUCCUACAUGGAGUGGGAGACUGAAAUAAUAACCUCAAAGAUGCCUUCCAAUCAGAAGAUUUGGUGAUUCUUUCUGAGUUAUCAAACUGCCUUCCUUUGACCUUGCUCACAUGUAGAAAUCCAAGUCAGCGCAGCUUAACUUGGACUCACCACCUAUCAAGUGCUCGACAGCCACGUGUGCAGUGGUUCCUACGUGGAGCAGCAUACAUCCAGAGAUGCAAAUAUUAAUGAGGACAGUGCUAGUAACAGAGUUGCUGAGCAAUCUAUGUCCCCUUGUAAGAACCAGUGCCCCAGGGGAAGAAACAGAACUCCACAAGGUAGCAGUGUGGGUGUAGUACCCGCAUGUGCCCAUGUUAUGGGAAUGUAGAUGGGGAGUGACCACCGCCAACAGAAGUGUGGCCAUCUUGCCCGAGAUGCCUGAGGACCUCCUAUUUUUAGAUGCUGCUGCCCAAGGCCUGUAUUUCAUGCUAUGGCUUUUGUCAUUUGAAUUAUCAGUAGCUGUCUCGGAGCUAUUACGCUUCACUGGGCCCUGGAGGAUAUUGUCUUAUACAG
Molecule: long non-coding RNA, 558 nt
Filed under: Homo sapiens (human)
Lineage: Eukaryota; Metazoa; Chordata; Mammalia; Primates; Hominidae
Description: PARP11 antisense RNA 1
Source: RNAcentral